Molecule: ribosomal RNA, 253 nt
Filed under: uncultured bacterium
Lineage: Bacteria
Description: partial 16S ribosomal RNA
Rfam family: Bacterial small subunit ribosomal RNA
Source: RNAcentral
UACAGAGGGUGCAAGCGUUAAUCGGAAUCAUUGGGCGUAAAGGGCGCGUAGGCGGCCCGGUAAGUCAAAGGUGAAAUCCCUCGGCUCAACUGAGGAACUGCCUUUGAAACUGUCGGGCUUGAGGCCGGGAGGGGGUGGCGGAAUUCCCAGUGUAGCGGUGAAAUGCGUAGAUAUUGGGAGGAACACCAGUGGCGAAGGCGGCCACCUGGACCGGUUCUGACGCUGAUGCGCGAAAGCGUGGGUAGCAAACAGG